This 2339-nucleotide long non-coding RNA is filed under the name Theobroma cacao (cacao). RNAcentral describes it as "long non-coding RNA (TCAC_LNC006002)". Lineage: Eukaryota; Viridiplantae; Streptophyta; Magnoliopsida; Malvales; Malvaceae. The record is from RNAcentral.
CAAACCAGCAAGAAGAGAGAGAAAAUAAAAACCAAACCCUAUAGAGAGAAAAUCAAAGAAAAAGUGUGAAUUUUCAAGGAAUUUAAGUGAAAAAGGUAAGAUUUUUUCUAUUAAGCUUGAGUUUGUUUAUUCCCAAGCAUUUCUCUUUAUUUUUCAUGAUUAAAUUGCAUGUUUUCAUGGCUGGUCAUAUGGGUCUAGAGAGAGAAAAUUGUUGGAUUGAUUUGAUUUUGAUAUAUGUUAGUGUUUAGUGUUAGUUUAGCAUGUUAGUAAACAAAAUAUGUAGAAAAACAUUCAUUUUUUCCCAUUACCUAGCCUUAAUUGAAUUUUCAAGUCAAUGGUGAGGAAGAAUGUGAUGUUAUUUUAGGUUAUUUGAUUAUGAAAUCAUGGUUUUUGAUAUGGAAAUUAAUGAAUAAUGGAAAGAAAAUCAAGUAGGAAAAAUUGUGACAAUGAUGCACCAUUUCGGCCGAAUUUUUCCAAGAAGGAAUAUGAAUGUGGCUUUGCUGAUUUUUGGGUUAUUUGGCUGGACAUUGGUGAUUUGAAGCAUUAGAAAAAGAAAUGGGAUCAAUUGGAGCUAAAUUGGAUGCGUAUUUCAAUUUAUCGGGUAAAAGACCGAAAUAGGUCAAUACGGUGUUUAGGCAAAAUUUAGACCUUUUGCAUUCCAUAUCACGCAUUAGUAGUCUAAAUUAGUUUAAUUUCAAUUUAGUACCAAUGUGGUGAAUUUCUCGAUUUUGUACUGUGUCAAGGUGGUGAGUUGUAAAACCCGACCCUAUAAACACAUGUCAUGACAUACAUGCACUGAGUAGCAUGAUAUUAUGCUAGGAAAGUCCUAAGAAUAGACCAAACCCGGUAUUGUACCUAACGGUACACUUGAGUUGAUUUAACCUCGAACUAGUUCAAAUAGGAAUCGUAGGAUGAAAUUUAAUAUUUUACAGUCUAUGAAUGACUAAAAAUGAUUGUUCGGAGUUCGAUGGUUCAUUUGGGAAAAAAUUGAAAAUUUUGAUGUUUAGGGGCAAAAUCAUCAUUUUGCCACCUAAGAUAAUAAUUUGAUCAUGGAGUGAAAUGUUUGACCAAGAUUAACUAUUUGGAGUAUAAUUUAAUGAUAGGAAGUGAAAAUUUUCAAUUUCGGCAAUUUUCGGAACAUAAGGGUAAAACGAUAAUUUUAUCAUCCAGGGGUAAAAACCGUAAUUUUCACCACCCCAAACUUGUCAAAAUCAUAGGAUUUAUUUAUUUUUGGUAUGAAUAACUAUGGUAUGUUAAGUGGUGAAAAAUUGAAGUUUAAAGGAUGAAAUUUUAAAAACGGGCCAAUGGGAAAGUGACGCAUGACACUUUUUAAUAAUUUAAUAUUAUUUUAAUGAAAAGUCAGCCCAUUUAAACCCCAUAUUAAGUGAUGGCCGGCCAUAAGGAGAGAACAAGUGAGAAAAUAGAGAGGAAAGGAAGAAAAGAGAAAAACCAAAGGAAAACUAGAAAAUUCAAAGGGGAAAUCGCGUUUUUCGAUCGUUUACGCGUCUAACGAUAAAAUUUUUCGACUUUAGCUUGAUUUCUACCUUUCUUAUGCCUUUGUUUCCAUUUUGCAUGCUUGAGGAGAGAGAUCAAAAAGUGAUAUCAAGGGCUGGAUGAAAUUCAAGAGGGAGGAAUUUGAAAUUUUUAUGUUUUGAUUUUUAGUUAAGUAGAUAGUUUUAGUUAGUUAAAUGUGUAUAGAAAUCAAAUUGGGCAAGAAAGCAUGAAAUUUUCAGAAUACCCACCCUUGGCUGAAUGUUCAAUGAUGUAUAAUGAUGAUGAACUAAUUUUUAUUCUAAUAGCAAUGAAGAGAAAAUGAUGAAAAAUGGUUAAAUGUGAUAGAAAAACAAAGUGGAAAAUUAACCGAGUUAUGUCCCAUUUUUGGCCAAAUUUUUCCAAGGAGAAAAGUGAGCUGAUUUUGGUGAUUUUAGAAGGUUAUUGGCUGAUAUUUAAUGGUUAGAAAUGUUGGAGAGAAAAUGGGACAAUUUAGAGCUAAAAUGGAGCGUGUUAGCAAUUUAACAGGUAAAGUGUCAAAAAUAGGUUAAUACCGCGUUUGAGCCGUUUUAGGCUAUUGCAUUUCAUACCAUGCAUUAGUAUAGGAUUUAAGUCAAUUAUAUAGUGAUUUAGCAUCAAUGUGGUGAAUUGGGUAAAUUUUGCAAUGUGUUUAGGAGGAGAGCCUUCCGAAAAAGGCAAGGAAGUCGUACCCGAUGAACAGUAAUCGGGGCACCUAAAAAGCAAUUAGUUUGUACAAACGGUGAGUAAACCUAUUAUUAUUGUAAAUUAUCUAGAGUUUAUUUUUAAAUGAUCUUUAUGGAUUUUAUGAAAUAAAAAUGAGAUUAAAA